UUGGUUAGUGGCAGACGGGUGAGUAAUGCAUAGGAAUCUACCUAGUAGUAUGGGAUAGCCACUGGAAAUGGUGGGUAAUACCGUAUAAUCCCCGCGGGGGAAAGAUUUAUCGCUAUUAGAUGAGCCUAUGUCGGAUUAGCUAGUUGGUGGGGUAAUGGCCUACCAAGGCAGUGAUCUGUAGCUGGUCUGAGAGGAUGAUCAGCCACACUGGAACUGAGACACGGUCCAGACUCCUACGGGAGGCAGCAGUGGGGAAUAUUGGACAAUGGGCGCAAGCCUGAUCCAGCUAUGCCGCGUGAGUGAGGAAGGCCUUAGGGCUGUAAAACUCUUUCAGUAGGGAAGAUAAUGACGGUACCUA
This 358-nucleotide ribosomal RNA is filed under the name Anaplasma phagocytophilum. Its description in RNAcentral is "bacterial SSU rRNA". It matches the Rfam family "Bacterial small subunit ribosomal RNA", at positions 88 to 481 of the family's 1533-position model. Lineage: Bacteria; Pseudomonadati; Pseudomonadota; Alphaproteobacteria; Rickettsiales; Anaplasmataceae. The record is from RNAcentral.